UACGUAGGGCGCGAGCGUUGUCCGGAUUUAUUGGGCGUAAAGAGCUCGUAGGCGGCUCGUUGCGUCAGCUGUGAAAACCCGCGGCUCAACCGUGUGGUCUGCAGUCGAUACGGGCAGGCUAGAGUUCGGUAGGGGGAGACUGGAAUUCCUGGUGUAGCGGUGAAAUGCGCAGAUAUCAGGAGGAACACCGGUGGCGAAGGCGGGGUCUCUGGGGCCGAUACUGACGCUGAGGGAGCGAAAAGCGUGGGGGGAGCGAAACAGGG
RNAcentral lists this ribosomal RNA (263 nucleotides) under uncultured bacterium. RNAcentral's name for it is "partial 16S ribosomal RNA". It matches the Rfam family "Bacterial small subunit ribosomal RNA", at positions 524 to 777 of the family's 1533-position model. The record is from RNAcentral.